Molecule: ribosomal RNA, 468 nt
Filed under: uncultured bacterium
Lineage: Bacteria
Description: partial 16S ribosomal RNA
Rfam family: Bacterial small subunit ribosomal RNA
Source: RNAcentral
GACGAACGCUGGCGGCGUGCUUAACACAUGCAAGUCGAACGGAAAGACCCUGCUUUUGUGGGGCGCUCGAGUGGCGAACGGGUGUGUAACACGUGAGUAACCUCUCCUUGUCUUUGGGAUAACUUCAGGAAACUGGGGCUAAUACCGGAUAGGAGCUCCUGCUGCAUGGUGGGGGAUGGAAAGUUUCGGCGGUUGGGGAUGGACUCGCGGCUUAUCAGCUUGUUGGUGGGGUAGUGGCUUACCAAGGCUUUGACGGGUAGCCGGCCUGAGAGGGUGGCCGGCCACAUUGGGACUGAGAUACGGCCCAGACGCCUACGGGAGGCAGCAGUGGGGAAUAUUGCACAAUGGGCGGAAGCCUGAUGCAGCGACGCCGCGUGCGGGAUGACGGCCUUCGGGUUGUAAACCGCUUUCGCCUGUGACGAAGCGUGAGUGACGGUAAUUGGUAAAGAAGCACCGGCUAACUACGUG